RNAcentral lists this ribosomal RNA (560 nucleotides) under uncultured bacterium. Its description in RNAcentral is "partial 16S ribosomal RNA". It matches the Rfam family "Bacterial small subunit ribosomal RNA", at positions 355 to 909 of the family's 1533-position model. The record is from RNAcentral.
UGGGGAAUUUUGGACAAUGGGCGAAAGCCUGAUCCAGCAAUGCCGCGUGUGUGAAGAAGGCCUUCGGGUUGUAAAGCACUUUUGUCCGGAAAGAAAUCCUUGGCUCUAAUACAGUCGGGGGAUGACGGUACCGGAAGAAUAAGCACCGGCUAACUACGUGCCAGCAGCCGCGGUAAUACGUAGGGUGCAAGCGUUAAUCGGAAUUACUGGGCGUAAAGCGUGCGCAGGCGGUUUGCUAAGACCGAUGUGAAAUCCCCGGGCUCAACCUGGGAACUGCAUUGGUGACUGGCAGGCUAGAGUAUGGCAGAGGGGGGUAGAUUCCACGUGUAGCAGUGAAAUGCGUAGAGAUGUGGAGGAAUACCGAUGGCGAAGGCAGCCCCCUGGGCCAAUACUGACGCUCAUGCACGAAAGCGUGGGGAGCAAACAGGAUUAGAUACCCUGGUAGUCCACGCCCUAAACGAUGUCAACUAGUUGUUGGGGAUUCAUUUCCUUAGUAACGUAGCUAACGCGUGAAGUUGACCGCCUGGGGAGUACGGUCGCAAGAUUAAAACUCAAAUGAA